AAUUUAAUUUCUCUUCUAAAAAUCAUGAAAGAAGUAAAAUUAAGUGAUCCCAUUGUUAGUGAAAUAAUUUUUUUUUUGGAGCAUACUAUCUCAUUUGCAGGCUUGGAUUUUCUGAUACUAGUAACACAUGAUCUAUCUACCACCAAAUUAUAUCCGUUAACAGUUUGGAAGAGUUUUGGAUUAAGAAUUGAGAUUGUUCCAAUAUGAUAGAUCAU
Molecule: unclassified non-coding RNA, 215 nt
Filed under: Hevea brasiliensis (rubber tree)
Lineage: Eukaryota; Viridiplantae; Streptophyta; Magnoliopsida; Malpighiales; Euphorbiaceae
Source: RNAcentral